Molecule: ribosomal RNA, 253 nt
Filed under: uncultured bacterium
Lineage: Bacteria
Description: partial 16S ribosomal RNA
Rfam family: Bacterial small subunit ribosomal RNA
Source: RNAcentral
GACGUAGGGCGCGAGCGUUGUCCGGAUUUAUUGGGCGUAAAGAGCUCGUAGGCGGCUUGUUGCGUCGACUGUGAAAACCCGCGGCUUAACUGCGGGCUUGCAGUUGAUACGGGCAGGCUAGAGUUCGGUAGGGGAGACUGGAAUUCCUGGUGUAGCGGUGAAAUGCGCAGAUAUCAGGAGGAACACCGGUGGCGAAGGCGGGUCUCUGGGCCGAUACUGACGCUGAGGAGCGAAGGCGUGGGGAGCGAACAGG